UCCAGACUCCUACGGGAGGCAGCAGUGGGGGAUAUUGCACAAUGGGGGGAACCCUGAUGCAGCGACGCCGCGUGGGUGAAGGAGCGUUUCGGCGCGUAAAGCCCUCUCGGCAGGGAAGAAGGAGGACGGUACCUGACUAAGAAGCCCCGGCUAACUACGUGCCAGCAGCCGCGGUAAUACGUAGGGGGCAAGCGUUAUCCGGAUUUACUGGGUGUAAAGGGGGCGCAGACGGCAGCGCAAGCCAGGAGUGAAAGCCCGGGGCCCAACCCCGGGACUGCUCUUGGAACUGCGUGGCUGGAGUGCAGGAGGGGCAGGCGGAAUUCCUGGUGUAGCGGUGAAAUGCGUAGAUAUCAGGAGGAACACCGGUGGCGAAGGCGGCCUGCUGGACUGCAACUGACGUUGAGGCCCGAAAGCGUGGGGAGCAAACAGGAUUAGAUACCCCCGUAGUA
Molecule: ribosomal RNA, 449 nt
Filed under: uncultured bacterium
Lineage: Bacteria
Description: partial 16S ribosomal RNA
Rfam family: Bacterial small subunit ribosomal RNA
Source: RNAcentral